This is a long non-coding RNA of Parus major (Great Tit), 1756 nucleotides long. RefSeq lists it as uncharacterized. The record is from RefSeq and is a predicted model, not a curated record. Lineage: Eukaryota; Metazoa; Chordata; Aves; Passeriformes; Paridae. The transcript is spliced from 2 exons.
CUUUUCGAAUUUUUUUUUUUUUAAAGUACCACUUUCUUCUGGCAACAUGGGCAGGACUUUUCCUGGGAAAAACGGGGAAAAUAACAGACACUGAAGCCACUGGAUAAGUGCAAAGACCCAGAGGGAAUGACUUAAAGCCAUGCAACAUGAAAAAAAAAUAGACUGAACUCUGAAGACUCUGUGUUUGAACAAAUUUGGAGUAACACAUCAAUCCCUUCCCAGCAGAGAAGAAAAACCAGUUCUGCUUGUCAGCUCAUUUUCUGUUCUAGUUUAGUUUUGUGCAUUGAGAGAACAUUACACGUUGAAAUAGUCUGGUAAGAGAAGGAUGUAGCAAAGUUAACUAUUGGCUAAACCAACUUUCAAAUUACCAGGAGCAAGUAUUCAGAUGUUCAGAAUAACAGGGAUCACAUUCCCACUCAGAAGUUUGCUUCCAUAGCAUUCUGGCCCAUUUUCAACACUAUUUAAAACAUUACAUAAGGCAAGAAGUACUCUGUAUUCUCAUUGCAGAGCUCACUGAGAAAGCAGCCUUGGUAUGUUGCAAUAACUGUGGUAUUAGAAGCAAGACAGACAUUAAAGUGCAAUUACCAGGCUCUAUCUUGCAUAGAAACAUUACAAAAAGACCAAACAAUCACAGAAAAAAUAUAUUGCAAUCAUGAAACCUUUCUACUACAGCAAAUAAACCCUGUGCCUGUUAGUUUUCAGCUCCUCUGUCUACUUUGAUACGUUCCCUUUUCUCUAGUCUUUGUACAGUCAUGUCCUGAAGUAUUGUCUCAGUUUCACUUGCUCAGAACUCCACCACUGGCACCCAGCAGUUUAUCAUGGGUUCAUCUGAGCUAUUAAAUGCCUUCUUUAACUCUGUUACAGAAAUGAAACUAUAGUCUCUUCUCAUAAGCUAAAUCCUCUGACUAGCCUUUGCUAUUUCAUCCCCAUUUGGUCCCACUCAAUCAUACUGCCAAUUUUUUUCUUGCCUUUUCUGAUAAUAGGAUUAUCAUGGCAACUGAUAAGAUACCACUUUCUAAGUGGUUUUAUGAACUACCAGCCAUACUGCUCCACAGUCAUGGAUGAAAGAAAUAAAACUGAAAAGCAGCUUGUGGAACAAGUUGCUACCCAGACUGCCAACAUCGGUGAAAACCUAGCAAUGACAAGGUACUAAGAUAAAACUGACUCAGAAGAGUUCUAGACCAAGUACAAGAAUAAUCCAUACGAAGAAAUUAAGAGAAAAUGGAAGUCAGAAGCUUUGAGAUGUGAAUUGGAGCACUAAUCCAAGAGCAAAAAUGUGAUGGCACUGUACAUGAUGUAAAAACAAAGUGGUGCUGAAUUCUGCAGGGAAGGAAGCUGAAACCAGCAAGCUGAGAGACAACCAGAUCCAACCGAGAUUUGUGGCACUGCCAAACAAAACAGGAGAAAAAGUCUGGCUCUUACUGGUACUAUUCAUGCAGAAGUCUCACUGCCCUUUCCUCACAAAAACACGAGAAAGACAGCAGAGUACUGUAGAGACAGCAGAGAUGUCAAAAACAUGAACCUGGAUGAUUCACAGCCCGAGGGGAAGGGACAGCAACACUUGGGACUGGAGCGAACGAAUGAGAGAAGCACACGUUACCCUUGCGCACAAAAGCGAUGAACUCCUUCACUGUCUGAUCCAAGGGGACGCCAUGGUACACCACAGGUCUGAAAUUACGGUGCUCAAAAGAGCGCACAAGACGAACUGUGACGGUCGAGCUUUCUGCUGACAUGAGAAUUAAUUCUGAAUAACCUG